AAAAAAUGUAAACUACCAUUAGUGUGAUGCUUGUCAGAGUUCUGUUAUCUGAAACCCCCCUUUUGUGUAACUUUCUGGGCUAUAAAGCUGGGAUGUAGGAAAGGUGGGGUGCUGUCUUGUUCCCACCAUUUUGGGCGGGAGAGGCAGCCCAGCCGGUCGAAAUAAUAAGCUUGCUUUAAUUUGAUUUUAAUUGGAGUCAGUAGUCUUUUCUUGUGUCCUGGUCUAACAUUUUGGAGUUCCCCAGUGAGACUACCCUGCCCGACCAGAUCACAAGACCAGACUGCUGGAAAUUCUGAAGCCAGCCUUUGCUCCAGGGCCCCAGGCUGGAGAGCCACUCUAGGGGGUGCGCACCUUGAGACAUUCCAAGGCCUCGGAGUGAGCCUUGGGUCCCUGGAGCACUGCAGUGAACUGCCGCACUAAAACUAUCAGCAAGCACCUGGUGGAGGAGGCCUCCAUAGGUAAGUGGCGCCUUUAUAACAUCUGGUAUCCGGUUAAGGGAGAUCUCUUCUGAUGACAGAGAGGUGGCCUGGCGAGGCUCACAUAUACUCCUGUCCGGGUCAGUAACGAGAAAUCGUUCUGUCCUCUGUUCUGUUCUGUAGGGAAUUCCUCUGGAAGGGUAGAGAGGUGCCCAUGGGCAUGCAUGCGCUCCUACCCUGGAGCUUUAGCAAGACAUUGCAUUGCUCCUCUGUUUUUCUGUUUUGGCUCUGGGUUUCUGUUUUCUUGUGUUUUGUUCUGUGUUCUAUAUGUUUUUUGUUUGUUUGUUUUUGUGCAUUUUGUUCUGUGAUUUCUGUGGUAAAAACUUAAGGAUAUUGGAUGUGAAAAUGGGUAAUAAAGCAAGUAAGGCUGACACCCCUUUGGACUGUGUUUUAAGGAACUGCGAUGAACUUUACCCCCCUUUGUUAAGCAGGAGGAGAGAAGCCCCUAGCUGGCUGCUGGAGCACACCCACUGCAGAGGGCAAUGCCUGCUGGGGAUGUAAGAACUGAGUGUCUCCCAGAUUCACAAGUGAGACUCCUUUAAAACCCCUUGUCCCUCCAGAUCAAGAGAGUCACAACCUUUGGGCAAGUUCCCUGUGUUUCUCCUUUGUUAGCAAAGCAAUAAACCUCCCUUUUUCUUUUUCUCAAAACCCUGUCCUCAUUAUUAUAUUGGCAUUAAUUUGCUUCAAGUUCAGGAACCGAACUUUAAGUUACAAAUUUUGAUACCCCCCCGUGCCCCGGAACUUUUUGAGAGCUGACUACUAAAAUGUUAGGAGAUGGAGCUUGCUUGGGGUGGAACCGAACCAGAGGAGAUAAUCCUGUAAGUAAAAGGAGGGACUGAGGGACUCCCAGUAGCUGCAGAAGCCCUGUUGCUUCGGGGAAUUCC
This 1360-nucleotide long non-coding RNA is filed under the name Marmota monax (woodchuck). Lineage: Eukaryota; Metazoa; Chordata; Mammalia; Rodentia; Sciuridae. The record is from RNAcentral.